Long non-coding RNA from Pygocentrus nattereri (red-bellied piranha), 292 nucleotides. RefSeq lists it as uncharacterized. The record is from RefSeq and is a predicted model, not a curated record. Lineage: Eukaryota; Metazoa; Chordata; Actinopteri; Characiformes; Serrasalmidae. The transcript has 2 exons.
UUCAGGUUGUCAAGGGAAUGUGGACUGUUGCAGAAGUCCGAAGAAGCUACACAGACAGGCAUAGAUGAUCAAUACCCUCGAGCAUCUGUGUUAUCGCAGCCACUUUCCAGCCCCCCCGCCUGCUUCCUCCCACCACGUUCCUUCAAGCUCAGCUGACGGCCUAACCAGAGCAAACCUCCCUGAUCUCCUUUGAUGUGGGCUCCUUGGAGAGACGUGAAAUGAAAAAAGGCGCUCGCUCGAAACCGCCCCGGUAAGACCUAAUCAGCUGCCGUGGCGACUUCCAUUUAGUGCA